CUGACUCAGACCAAUCACUGUGUAUUGACGAUGUCUGGCUCCUACAUGCCAAUGUCUAUGUCAUGAAAUAAUGAGAUUUUUCUGAAAAUGCUGCACCUCAGCAGGAGAGCUGCUUGGAAGUGGCAGCGAGAGCUAAAGACGUGACCCUCCGCAGGAUGGAAAAUGCGCAACGCCUGCUUGAAUGUCAAAAGGCAAAAACACAAACUAACGUGUGAUCGGAGGUGUCGCUCAGAUCUUGCUCUGAGCGGAGCUUCCUGCUGAACGUGUGGAAACCAGGAAUUUCAUUUCAUCAUUUGAGAGCUCCCUUUAUUAAAAUAACGGUAAAUAUUAGUGGUGUGUGUCGGCAAGAGUGUUUGAAUGAGGCUAAGAUGCCAG
Molecule: long non-coding RNA, 375 nt
Organism: Oryzias melastigma (Indian medaka)
Lineage: Eukaryota; Metazoa; Chordata; Actinopteri; Beloniformes; Adrianichthyidae
Exons: 3
Source: RefSeq, a predicted model, not a curated record